RNAcentral lists this ribosomal RNA (508 nucleotides) under uncultured bacterium. RNAcentral's name for it is "bacterial SSU rRNA". It matches the Rfam family "Bacterial small subunit ribosomal RNA", at positions 8 to 525 of the family's 1533-position model. The record is from RNAcentral.
AGGGUUUGAUCAUGGCUCAGGACGAACGCUGGCGGUGCGCCUUAUGCAUGCAAGUCGAGCGAAGCUUUUCAGUAGUUUACUACAGAAAAUGACUGAGCGGCGAACGGGUGAGUAACGCGUGAGCAAUCUACCUUAGUUACAGGGAUAGCCCGAGGAAACUCGGAUUAAUACCUGAUAUUCUUUAUUUCUCGCAUGAGAAUAAAAGGAAAGGUCAGCCGAACUAAGAUGAGCUCGCGUUCUAUCAGCUUGUUGGUGAGGUAAAAGCUUACCAAGGCUACGACGGAUAGCUGGUCUGAGAGGACGAUCAGCCACACUGGGACUGAGACACGGCCCAGACUCCUACGGGAGGCUGCAGCAGGGAAUAUUGUGCAAUGAACGAAAGUUUGACACAGCGACACCGCGUGUGGGAUGACGGAUCUAGGUUUGUAAACCACUUUCAGGAGGGAAGAAAAUGACGGUACCUCCACAAGAAGCCCCGGCCAGCUACGUGCCAGCAGCCGCGGUAAUA